CAGUAGCCGCGGUAAUACGGAGGGGGCUAGCGUUGUUCGGAAUUACUGGGCGUAAAGCGCACGUAGGCGGCUUUGUAAGUUAGAGGUGAAAGCCUGGGGCUCAACUCCAGAAUUGCCUUUAAGACUGCAUCGCUUGAACGUCGGAGAGGUGAGUGGAAUUCCGAGUGUAGAGGUGAAAUUCGUAGAUAUCUGGAGGAAUACCGGUGGCGAAGGCGGCUACCUGGUCCUAUACUGACGCUGAGACGCGAAAGCCAGGGGAGCGAACGGGAUUAGAUACCCCCGUAGUCCCUGUCUCUUAUAU
This 301-nucleotide ribosomal RNA is filed under the name uncultured bacterium. RNAcentral's name for it is "partial 16S ribosomal RNA". It matches the Rfam family "Bacterial small subunit ribosomal RNA", at positions 509 to 808 of the family's 1533-position model. The record is from RNAcentral.